This is a long non-coding RNA of Malurus melanocephalus (red-backed fairy wren), 279 nucleotides long. RefSeq lists it as uncharacterized. The record is from RefSeq and is a predicted model, not a curated record. The transcript has 3 exons. NCBI's taxonomy places the organism in Eukaryota, Metazoa, Chordata, Aves, Passeriformes, Maluridae.
GGCCCGCCUCAGCCGCUGGCGGCCAUUUUGCGCGCGGGCAGCGCGCGGCGGGCGGCGGCGACGGGCGCGGCCAUUUUGGGUGCCCCCUCUCCCCACACAUGGUAAAGGCACCCGGAGAUGGCAGUGUGUGAAGUUUGCUGCUGUAUCUUGAGGUGUGUAACAGGAGUUUUCAGUUCCUCGUUCCUCCUGAGCUCUAAAUUUCCUCACCACAGGAAGCUGCUUUGUUAAGGACCAGCUUACACUGACCUGUCAUGGCAUCCAACAAAUUUGUCAUUAAGG